GGAUGUGAGGGCGAUCUGGUUGCGACAUCUGUCACUCCAUUGAUCGCCAGGGUUGAUUCGGCUCAUCUGGCUGGCUAGGCGGGUGUCCCCUUCCUCCCUCACUGCUCCAUGUGCGUCCCUCCCGAAGCUGCGCACUCGGUCGAAGAGGACGACCAUCCCCGAUAGAGGAGGACCGGUCUUCGGUCAAGGGUAUACGAGUAGCUGCACUCCCCUGCUAGAACCUCCAAACAAGCUCUCAAAAGCCCAUCU
RNAcentral lists this long non-coding RNA (249 nucleotides) under Cervus elaphus hippelaphus. It matches the Rfam family "7SK RNA", at positions 1 to 248 of the family's 331-position model. From Rfam's summary of the family: 7SK was discovered as an abundant small nuclear RNA in the mid-70s but a possible function has only recently been suggested. Two independent studies have found that 7SK RNA binds the CDK9/cyclin T complex (known as elongation factor P-TEFb). The record is from RNAcentral. Lineage: Eukaryota; Metazoa; Chordata; Mammalia; Artiodactyla; Cervidae.